UUACCGGAUGUGUCUGUUAUCUAAUGUGUUUCCAGAUAUUUCCUGGUAUUUCUGUUGCAUUUUCAUAAUUCGUUUCUUUUACUCUCCGAUGAAUUCUCAGACAUGUCAUUUUUGUUUUGACGCACUUCCAAAAUCCCUAUACCAUUCCCUAGCAUUAUUUCAAGGUUCAUUGGUGUCUCCUAAAAUUCAACUGUCAUUAGCAUUAUUUCAAGGUCAAUUGUUACUCGAAAAAUUGAGCUAAGAUGGAAAAUCUUAAAAGUUUUGAAAAGGGAAAAAAUACUUGAUUUUAUAAAUGAAGGAACCAAAACUUUAAUUUAGAUAAAUUAAAAUAUCAAAAAUAAAUUUAAUCUCAUUUUUUAAAACAAAGAUGAAUUACUUAAAGUGAAUAUCAAAGAUAAAACAAAAACUUGAAUUGAUUCAUAUAAUGAAAAACUAAUGGUUGAAAAGGUGAAAAGUCUAAAUAAUGAAGAGCUAAAAGAGUGAGAGAGUGGUAAGAGAAGAAGAAACCAAAAAUAAAAAUCAACAAAAUAUAAAUAUAGAAAUAUCUUGAAUGAACAAGUUUGAUAGAAAACAAGCAACAUACUUUUUUUUAUGAGUUUCUAGAUAACUUUGUAUUUAUGGACUAUGCUAAUGGUACUUGAGAAAUAAAUGGAUAUUAAAGAGGUGGUAAUUCAUACAAAGAAGCACAAACCAGGACAUUUGUUUGGAUUCAUAAUUUUUGUGCGUGUAUGAUAAAGAGUUGUUUAGCAUGAAUCUUGAAAAUAUAAUUAUGAGAGAUUUCUUUAGAUAAUAAUAACUUUUUUAUAUGACAUCUACAUAAAAUGGUGGAGGAGCCAAACAAUUUCUCUUUGUCACCAAUUAAUUCCAAUGACAAUGAAUGCUUUUUGUGAGCUUAUAAGUCUCUCUCUCUCUCUCUCUCUCUCUC
RNAcentral lists this long non-coding RNA (925 nucleotides) under Lathyrus oleraceus (garden pea). RNAcentral's name for it is "Pisum sativum (pea) long non-coding RNA (PSAT_LNC018602)". Lineage: Eukaryota; Viridiplantae; Streptophyta; Magnoliopsida; Fabales; Fabaceae. The record is from RNAcentral.